This 536-nucleotide long non-coding RNA is filed under the name Linum usitatissimum (flax). RNAcentral's name for it is "long non-coding RNA (LUSI_LNC001821)". Lineage: Eukaryota; Viridiplantae; Streptophyta; Magnoliopsida; Malpighiales; Linaceae. The record is from RNAcentral.
UGGUCCCUGGCUGCAGCAAGGUAAACAAGAAUUUCUGAGCACAACCACCACAAAUUCAUAAUCAGUUAGUAAUCAUUCAUUUGGGAUUUGAGAUUCUAAAAGAUUUUAAACAAAGCGUAAUUAGCCCAACUAUGCUGCCUUUAUCAGAAAAAGUUGUAAUCAUAGAUCUUGGAUUAUCUGGAGGAUUAACAAAUGAUUAAUGAUGAUAAGUUGGUUAUGUCGCCUUCACCUUUUUCACGAAAAAAGUUGUGGGGACUAGCUUUUGUAACAAGAAAAAAAUAUAGUGGUACCACUGGUAGGGCUGUCUCGUCAUUUCGCCAUCUCUUCACUGGUUUCUCUCAUCUUUCCAAGACAACUAGACAAGUGCUUCUGAAGCAACAGAGUCCUCUGUUCUCCAAGGCCAGUUUUGUCAUUCGACAUGAGAAGACAUUGUUUUUUGUUUUAGUGUUCAUAUUCAUGGUGGAAAUGGAAUAGCUGGGUUCGAACUUUAGAACCAAGGAGAUUGGCUUUCUUUCGGAUAUGCUAACAGGAGCCAA